RNAcentral lists this ribosomal RNA (492 nucleotides) under uncultured bacterium. RNAcentral's name for it is "partial 16S ribosomal RNA". It matches the Rfam family "Bacterial small subunit ribosomal RNA", at positions 29 to 507 of the family's 1533-position model. The record is from RNAcentral.
AGUGAACGCUGGCGGUAGGCCUAACACAUGCAAGUCGAACGGCAGCACAGUAAGAGCUUGCUCUUACGGGUGGCGAGUGGCGGACGGGUGAGGAAUACAUCGGAAUCUACUUUUUCGUGGGGGAUAACGUAGGGAAACUUACGCUAAUACCGCAUACGACCUACGGGUGAAAGCAGGGGAUCUUCGGCCCUUGCGCGAUUGAAUGAGCCGAUGUCGGAUUAGCUAGUUGGCGGGGUAAAGGCCCACCAAGGCGACGAUCCGUAGCUGGUCUGAGAGGAUGAUCAGCCACACUGGAACUGGGUCGCGGUCCAGACUCCUACGGGAGGCAGCAGUGGGGAAUAUUGGACAAUAGGCGCAAACCUGUUCCAGCCAUACCGCGUGUGUGGAGUAGGCCUACGGGUUGUAAAGCCCUUUUGUUGGGAAAGAAAGGCAGCAGGUUGAUACCCCGCUGUUCUGACGGUACCCAAAGAAUAAGCACCGGCUAACUUCGUG